RNAcentral lists this ribosomal RNA (506 nucleotides) under uncultured bacterium. RNAcentral describes it as "partial 16S ribosomal RNA". The record is from RNAcentral.
GGAGUUAGCCGGUGCUUCUUCUGUGAGUGAUGUCCUUCCUGCCGGCUAUUAACCCGCAGGCCUUCUUCCUCACUGAAAGUGCUUUACAACCCGAAGGCCUUCUUCACACACGCGGCAUGGCUGGAUCAGGGUUGCCCCCAUUGUCCAAUAUUCCCCACUGCUGCCUCCCGUAGGAGUCUGGGCCGUGUCUCAGUCCCAGUGUGGCUGAUCAUCCUCUCAGACCAGCUACGGAUCGUCGCCUUGGUGAGCCGUUACCUCACCAACCAGCUAAUCCGACAUAGGCUCAUCCGAUAGCGCGAGGCCCGAAGGUCCCCCGCUUUCCCCCGUAGGGCGUAUGCGGUAUUAGCCUGGGUUUCCCCAGGUUAUCCCCCACUACCGGGCAGAUUCCUAUGCAUUACUCACCCGUCCGCCGCUCGCCACCAGGGAGCAAGCUCCCCGUGCUGCCGCUCGACUUGCAUGUGUUAGGCCUGCCGCCAGCGUUCAAUCUGAGCCAGAUCAAACUCUGA